UGGGCAAUCUGCCCUUCACUCUGGGACAAGCCCUGGAAACGGGGUCUAAUACCGGAUAUUACUCCUGCCUGCAUGGGCGGGGGUUGAAAGCUCCGGCGGUGAAGGAUGAGCCCGCGGCCUAUCAGCUUGUUGGUGGGGUAACGGCUCACCAAGGCAACGGACGGGUAGCUGGUCUGAGAGGAUGGCCAGCCACAUUGGGACUGAGACACGGCCCAGACUCCGUACGGNGCAG
RNAcentral lists this ribosomal RNA (232 nucleotides) under uncultured bacterium. RNAcentral describes it as "partial 16S ribosomal RNA". It matches the Rfam family "Bacterial small subunit ribosomal RNA", at positions 118 to 347 of the family's 1533-position model. The record is from RNAcentral.